Colias croceus (clouded yellow) is the source of this 1142-nucleotide long non-coding RNA. RefSeq lists it as uncharacterized. The record is from RefSeq and is a predicted model, not a curated record. The transcript is spliced from 7 exons. Lineage: Eukaryota; Metazoa; Arthropoda; Insecta; Lepidoptera; Pieridae.
CGUUGCAGGCAUGCAGGCAGCCCGCAGCAGGGUACGAUUAUAGGUACUGAUUAAAUACGUUAUUUUUAUCAGGUUUCUCGUAAUUAUUCAGCAUCAGUCAACUAGCCAUCUAUCCUGAGAUUUUAAUCCCAACUUCUCAAUGAACCACAACACAUUUAAGACAAGCAGUAUAAGGAACUGAUGGAAUAAAUUAUUUAAUGACCAAGAAAUCAAACAAACAAACAAAAAUGCUUUAUUGUGCACCACAGAAAGAAGUACAAAAUAAGGAUACAAUAAUAAAUAAAAGAGCACAACAGUCUAUCUUAUUGCUCAGACAGUGAUCUCUUCCAGACCUGGCCUGAAAUCAUGUGAAUCUAAGAAUUAAUGACAAAUUGUAACUUGGAACAACGUGUGGUAUAAUGAUAAAACAAUGACCAACUUUCCAUUGAAACAAACAGAAAACAAUGGAUAUUUGGAAUGGACAUGUAACAGUCGACUGUGAGCUUCUCAAACACCAAUUUGUAAAAGAACAGCCGAGUAAUUUGCAAGUGAUUUCAAGAUUCAAAUAGAACCGGAAACAUUUACGUAUAAGGAACUGAUGGAAUAAAUUAUUUAAUGACCAAGAAAUCAAACAAACAAACAAAAAUGCUUUAUUGUGCACCACAGAAAGAAGUACAAAAUAAGGAUGCAAUAAUAAAUAAAAGAGCACAACAGUCUAUCUUAUUGCUCAGACAGUGAUCUCUUCCAGACCUGGCCUGAAAUCAUGUGAAUCUAAGAAUUAAUGACAAAUUGUAACUUGGAACAACGUGUGGUAUAAUGAUAAAACAAUGACCAACUUUCCAUUGAAACAAACAGAAAACAAUGGAUAUUUGGAAUGGACAUGUAACAGUCGACUGUGAGCUUCUCAAACACCAAUUUGUAAAAGAACAGCCGAGUAAUUUGCAAGUGAUUUCAAGAUUCAAAUAGAACCGGAAACAUUUACGGUUCACGGGUGUUGCGGACAACAUAAGUAAAGCGGGAACACAUUCGGAAAGGAGACGAGCGUAUUGUGCGCUAACGCUCGCUUGCCCACACCGGUAGUUUUUCUGUUAGGUUAUAAUUGUACAUGAGGCCUUGUUAAUUGUAUCGAGUUAUGAUCCCCCUCCCCCCCCUCCCCCUCCCCC